RNAcentral lists this ribosomal RNA (226 nucleotides) under uncultured bacterium. RNAcentral's name for it is "partial 16S ribosomal RNA". It matches the Rfam family "Bacterial small subunit ribosomal RNA", at positions 104 to 334 of the family's 1533-position model. The record is from RNAcentral.
GGGUGAGUAAUGUCUGGGAAACUGCCUGAUGGAGGGGGAUAACUACUGGAAACGGUAGCUAAUACCGCAUAACGUCGCAAGACCAAAGAGGGGGACCUUCGGGCCUCUUGCCAUCGGAUGUGCCCAGAUGGGAUUAGCUAGUAGUGGGGUAACGGCUCACCUAGGCGACGAUCCCUAGCUGGUCUGAGAGGAUGACCAGCCACACUGGAACUGAGACACGGUCCAG